GGCUGGUCCGAGUAGAAUGAUGUUUACAACGAAUUGAUCACAACCAGUUACAGAUGUUUCUGUUCCUUCUCCACUCCCACUGCUUCACCUGACUAGCCUUUA
Molecule: unclassified non-coding RNA, 102 nt
Organism: Cercocebus atys (sooty mangabey)
Lineage: Eukaryota; Metazoa; Chordata; Mammalia; Primates; Cercopithecidae
Rfam family: Y RNA
About the family: Y RNAs are components of the Ro ribonucleoprotein particle (Ro RNP), in association with Ro60 and La proteins.
Source: Ensembl